Molecule: ribosomal RNA, 1439 nt
Filed under: Staphylococcus aureus
Lineage: Bacteria; Bacillati; Bacillota; Bacilli; Caryophanales; Staphylococcaceae
Description: partial 16S ribosomal RNA
Rfam family: Bacterial small subunit ribosomal RNA
Source: RNAcentral
GCCUAUACAUGCAGUCGAGCGACGGACGAGAAGCUUGCUUCUCUGAUGUUAGCGGCGGACGGGUGAGUAACACGUGGAUAACCUACCUAUAAGACUGGGAUAACUUCGGGAAACCGGAGCUAAUACCGGAUAAUAUUUUGAACCGCAUGGUUCAAAAGUGAAAGACGGUCUUGCUGUCACUUAUAGAUGGAUCCGCGCUGCAUUAGCUAGUUGGUAAGGUAACGGCUUACCAAGGCAACGAUGCAUAGCCGACCUGAGAGGGUGAUCGGCCACACUGGAACUGAGACACGGUCCAGACUCCUACGGGAGGCAGCAGUAGGGAAUCUUCCGCAAUGGGCGAAAGCCUGACGGAGCAACGCCGCGUGAGUGAUGAAGGUCUUCGGAUCGUAAAACUCUGUUAUUAGGGAAGAACAUAUGUGUAAGUAACUGUGCACAUCUUGACGGUACCUAAUCAGAAAGCCACGGCUAACUACGUGCCAGCAGCCGCGGUAAUACGUAGGUGGCAAGCGUUAUCCGGAAUUAUUGGGCGUAAAGCGCGCGUAGGCGGUUUUUUAAGUCUGAUGUGAAAGCCCACGGCUCAACCGUGGAGGGUCAUUGGAAACUGGAAAACUUGAGUGCAGAAGAGGAAAGUGGAAUUCCAUGUGUAGCGGUGAAAUGCGCAGAGAUAUGGAGGAACACCAGUGGCGAAGGCGACUUUCUGGUCUGUAACUGACGCUGAUGUGCGAAAGCGUGGGGAUCAAACAGGAUUAGAUACCCUGGUAGUCCACGCCGUAAACGAUGAGUGCUAAGUGUUAGGGGGUUUCCGCCCCUUAGUGCUGCAGCUAACGCAUUAAGCACUCCGCCUGGGGAGUACGACCGCAAGGUUGAAACUCAAAGGAAUUGACGGGGACCCGCACAAGCGGUGGAGCAUGUGGUUUAAUUCGAAGCAACGCGAAGAACCUUACCAAAUCUUGACAUCCUUUGACAACUCUAGAGAUAGAGCCUUCCCCUUCGGGGGACAAAGUGACAGGUGGUGCAUGGUUGUCGUCAGCUCGUGUCGUGAGAUGUUGGGUUAAGUCCCGCAACGAGCGCAACCCUUAAGCUUAGUUGCCAUCAUUAAGUUGGGCACUCUAAGUUGACUGCCGGUGACAAACCGGAGGAAGGUGGGGAUGACGUCAAAUCAUCAUGCCCCUUAUGAUUUGGGCUACACACGUGCUACAAUGGACAAUACAAAGGGCAGCGAAACCGCGAGGUCAAGCAAAUCCCAUAAAGUUGUUCUCAGUUCGGAUUGUAGUCUGCAACUCGACUACAUGAAGCUGGAAUCGCUAGUAAUCGUAGAUCAGCAUGCUACGGUGAAUACGUUCCCGGGUCUUGUACACACCGCCCGUCACACCACGAGAGUUUGUAACACCCGAAGCCGGUGGAGUAACCUUUUAGGAGCUAGCCGUCGAAGGUGGAAA